This 466-nucleotide ribosomal RNA is filed under the name uncultured bacterium. RNAcentral's name for it is "partial 16S ribosomal RNA". It matches the Rfam family "Bacterial small subunit ribosomal RNA", at positions 29 to 507 of the family's 1533-position model. The record is from RNAcentral.
ACGAACGCUGGCGGCGUGCUUAACACAUGCAAGUCGAACGGAAAGGCCUCUUUCGGGGGGUACUCGAGUGGCGAACGGGUGAGUAACACGUGAGUAACCUGCCCUUGACUUUGGGAUAACUUCAGGAAACUGGGGCUAAUACCGGAUAGGAGCUCCUGCUGCAUGGUGGGGGUUGGAAAGUUUCGGCGGUUGGGGAUGGACUCGCGGCUUAUCAGCUUGUUGGUGGGGUAGUGGCUUACCAAGGCUUUGACGGGUAGCCGGCCUGAGAGGGUGACCGGCCACAUUGGGACUGAGAUACGGCCCAGACUCCUACGGGAGGCAGCAGGGGGGAAUAUUGCACAAUGGGUGGAAGCCUGAUGCAGCAACGCCGUGUGCGGGAUGACGGCCUUCGGGUUGUAAACCGCUUUCGCUCAUGACGAAGCUUUGUGUGACGGUAGUGGGUAAAGAAGCACCGGCUAACUACGUG